RNAcentral lists this ribosomal RNA (545 nucleotides) under uncultured Ascomycota. RNAcentral's name for it is "eukaryotic LSU rRNA". The stretch from base 194 to 346 matches the Rfam family "5.8S ribosomal RNA". The record is from RNAcentral. Lineage: Eukaryota; Fungi; Ascomycota.
CUUGGUCAUUUAGAGGAAGUAAAAGUCGUAACAAGGUCUCCGUAGGUGAACCUGCGGAGGGAUCAAUAUCGAACCUGGCCCCCUGGCCACGUCUACCUUGCAAACCCGUGGAAGCGAACCGUGCUUCGGCGCCUCGGCGUCGAGUUUAUGCUGCAGUUGGUAGUUUGCGUCUGAAUCAAACCGAAGGACAUAAAACUUUCAACAGAGGAUCUCUUGGCUCUUGUAUCGAUGAAGAACGCAGCAAAGCGCGAAAUGUAGUGAACAUAGCAGCACAAUUGUGAAUCAUCGAAUCUUUGAACGCACAUUGCGCCUCCGGUAGCUCGGAGGCAUGCCUGUCUGAGCGUCAUUUAAAACCAUGGACCCAGGAUUGGGUCCGUAUUGGGCGUCGCCCCCCUCUCCAGAGUGGCGCGUGGCCUCAAAGACAUUGGUCUCACAUGCGGACGAGCUCCCCUGGGACAGACCGCGUGGAGACCCUAAGCAUCUGACUUUGAUCUCAGAUCAGGUAGGAACACCGCCUGAACUUAAGCAUAUCAAUAAGCGGAGGA